Molecule: ribosomal RNA, 264 nt
Filed under: uncultured bacterium
Lineage: Bacteria
Description: partial 16S ribosomal RNA
Rfam family: Bacterial small subunit ribosomal RNA
Source: RNAcentral
UUGUCCUACGGGGGGCAGCAGUGGGGAAUCUUCCGCAAUGGGCGAAAGCCUGACGGAGCAACGCCGCGUGAUCGAAUGAAGGCCUUCGGGUUGUAAAGAUCUGUUGAUAGGGACGAAUAAGCAAUGCGAAUAGUUUUGUGUAUGACGGUACCUGUUUAGAAAGCUCGGGCUAACUACGUGCAAGCAGCCGCGGUAAUACGUAGGGAGCAGGCGUUGUCGGGAAUUACUGGGGGUAAAGGGGGCGUGGGGGGGCGCUUAAGUCAG